Molecule: ribosomal RNA, 650 nt
Filed under: Acinetobacter sp. 2P2D3
Lineage: Bacteria; Pseudomonadati; Pseudomonadota; Gammaproteobacteria; Moraxellales; Moraxellaceae
Description: bacterial SSU rRNA
Rfam family: Bacterial small subunit ribosomal RNA
Source: RNAcentral
UGCAAGUCGAGCGGAUGAAGGGAGCUUGCUCCUGGAUUCAGCGGCGGACGGGUGAGUAAUGCUUAGGAAUCUGCCUAUUAGUGGGGGACAACAGUUGGAAACGACUGCUAAUACCGCAUACGCCCUACGGGGGAAAGGAGGGGAUCUUCGGACCUUUCGCUAAUAGAUGAGCCUAAGUCAGAUUAGCUAGUUGGUGGGGUAAAGGCCUACCAAGGCGACGAUCUGUAGCGGGUCUGAGAGGAUGAUCCGCCACACUGGGACUGAGACACGGCCCAGACUCCUACGGGAGGCAGCAGUGGGGAAUAUUGGACAAUGGGGGGAACCCUGAUCCAGCCAUGCCGCGUGUGUGAAGAAGGCCUUUUGGUUGUAAAGCACUUUAAGCGAGGAGGAGGCGCUCUAGAUUAAUACUCUAGUAGCGUGGACGUUACUCGCAGAAUAAGCACCGGCUAACUCUGUGCCAGCAGCCGCGGUAAUACAGAGGGUGCGAGCGUUAAUCGGAUUUACUGGGCGUAAAGCGUACGUAGGCGGCUUUUUAAGUCGGAUGUGAAAUCCCUGAGCUUAACUUAGGAAUUGCAUUCGAUACUGGGAAGCUAGAGUAUGGGAGAGGAUGGUAGAAUUCCAGGUGUAGCGGUGAAAUGCGUAGAGAUCUG